RNAcentral lists this ribosomal RNA (833 nucleotides) under Clostridioides difficile. RNAcentral describes it as "partial 23S ribosomal RNA". It matches the Rfam family "Bacterial large subunit ribosomal RNA", at positions 516 to 1358 of the family's 2925-position model. The record is from RNAcentral. Lineage: Bacteria; Bacillati; Bacillota; Clostridia; Peptostreptococcales; Peptostreptococcaceae.
GAAAAGAACCCCGGGAGGGGAGUGAAAUAGAACCUGAAACCCUGCACUUACAAGCUGUGGAAGCACAUUUCUUGUGUGACCGCGUACUUUUUGUAGAACGGGCCAACGAGUUACGUUAAGUAGCAAGGUUAAGCACUUAAGGUGUGGAGCCGUAGCGAAAGCGAGUUUUAACUGAGCGUUCAGUUACUUGACGUAGACCCGAAACCGGGCGACCUACCCAUGAGCAGGAUGAAGCGAAAGUAAAAUUUCGUGGAGGUCCGAACCCACGAGCGUUGAAAAGCUCGGGGAUGACUUGUGGGUAGCGGUGAAAUUCCAAUCGAGCCCGGAGAUAGCUGGUUCUCCCCGAAAUAGCUUUAGGGCUAGCCUCAAGGUGAGAGAUACGGAGGUAGAGCACUGAAUGUCCUAGGGGGUAUUGCACCUACCGAAGACUAUCAAACUCCGAAUGCCGUCAUCUUAUACUUGGGAGUCAGACUGUGGGUGAUAAGAUUCAUAGUCGAAAGGGCAACAGCCCAGAUCGUCAGCUAAGGUCCCUAAAUGUAAGUUAAGUGGUAAAGGAUGUGGGAUUGCACAGACAACCAGGAUGUUGGCUUAGAAGCAGCCACUCAUUCAAAGAGUGCGUAAUAGCUCACUGGUCGAGUGAUCCUGCGCCGAAGAUUUCCGGGGCUAAAACUUACUACCGAAGCUACGGCAUCAGUAAUGAUGGGUAGGGGAGCUUCCCAUACGGGUUGAAGCAUGACCGUAAGGACAUGUGGACAGUAUGGGAGUGAGAAUGUUGGCAUGAGUAGCGAGAUGUGGGUGAGAAUCCCACAGGCCGUAAACCCAAGGUUUCCAGG